This 497-nucleotide ribosomal RNA is filed under the name uncultured bacterium. Its description in RNAcentral is "partial 16S ribosomal RNA". It matches the Rfam family "Bacterial small subunit ribosomal RNA", at positions 28 to 507 of the family's 1533-position model. The record is from RNAcentral.
GAUGAACGCUGGCGGCGUGCCUAAUACAUGCAAGUCGAGCGAACAGAUGAGGAGCUUGCUCCUCUGACGUUAGCGGCGGACGGGUGAGUAACACGUGGAUAACCUACCUAUAAGACUGGGAUAACUUCGGGAAACCGGAGCUAAUACCGGAUAAUAUAUUGAACCGCAUGGGUCAAUAGUGAAAGACGGUUUUGCUGUCACUUAUAGAUGGAUCCGCGCCGCAUUAGCUAGUUGGUAAGGUAACGGCUUACCAAGGCAACGAUGCGUAGCCGACCUGAGAGGGUGAUCGGCCACACUGGAACUGAGACACGGUCCAGACUCCUACGGGAGGCAGCAGUAGGGAAUCUUCCGCAAAGGGCGAAAGCCUGACGGAGCAACGCCGCGUGAGUGAUGAAGGUCUUCGGAUCGUAAAACUCUGUUAUUAGGGAAGAACAAAUGUGUAAGUAACUAUGCACGUCUUGACGGUACCUAAUCAGAAAGCCACGGCUAACUACGUG